Molecule: ribosomal RNA, 1393 nt
Filed under: Limosilactobacillus fermentum
Lineage: Bacteria; Bacillati; Bacillota; Bacilli; Lactobacillales; Lactobacillaceae
Description: bacterial SSU rRNA
Rfam family: Bacterial small subunit ribosomal RNA
Source: RNAcentral
GGUCGCCAACGAGUGGCGGACGGGUGAGUAACACGUAGGUAACCUCGCCCAGAAGCGGGGGACAACAUUUGGAAACAGAUGCUAAUACCGCAUAACAGCGUUGUUCGCAUGAACAACGCUUAAAAGAUGGCUUCUCGCUAUCACUUCUGGAUGGACCUGCGGUGCAUUAGCUUGUUGGUGGGGUAACGGCCUACCAAGGCGAUGAUGCAUAGCCGAGUUGAGAGACUGAUCGGCCACAAUGGGACUGAGACACGGCCCAUACUCCUACGGGAGGCAGCAGUAGGGAAUCUUCCACAAUGGGCGCAAGCCUGAUGGAGCAACACCGCGUGAGUGAAGAAGGGUUUCGGCUCGUAAAGCUCUGUUGUUAAAGAAGAACACGUAUGAGAGUAACUGUUCAUACGUUGACGGUAUUUAACCAGAAAGUCACGGCUAACUACGUGCCAGCAGCCGCGGUAAUACGUAGGUGGCAAGCGUUAUCCGGAUUUAUUGGGCGUAAAGAGAGUGCAGGCGGUUUUCUAAGUCUGAUGUGAAAGCCUUCGGCUUAACCGGAGAAGUGCAUCGGAAACUGGAUAACUUGAGUGCAGAAGAGGGUAGUGGAACUCCAUGUGUAGCGGUGGAAUGCGUAGAUAUAUGGAAGAACACCAGUGGCGAAGGCGGCUACCUGGUCUGCAACUGACGCUGAGACUCGAAAGCAUGGGUAGCGAACAGGAUUAGAUACCCUGGUAGUCCAUGCCGUAAACGAUGAGUGCUAGGUGUUGGAGGGUUUCCGCCCUUCAGUGCCGGAGCUAACGCAUUAAGCACUCCGCCUGGGGAGUACGACCGCAAGGUUGAAACUCAAAGGAAUUGACGGGGGCCCGCACAAGCGGUGGAGCAUGUGGUUUAAUUCGAAGCUACGCGAAGAACCUUACCAGGUCUUGACAUCUUGCGCCAACCCUAGAGAUAGGGCGUUUCCUUCGGGAACGCAAUGACAGGUGGUGCAUGGUCGUCGUCAGCUCGUGUCGUGAGAUGUUGGGUUAAGUCCCGCAACGAGCGCAACCCUUGUUACUAGUUGCCAGCAUUAAGUUGGGCACUCUAGUGAGACUGCCGGUGACAAACCGGAGGAAGGUGGGGACGACGUCAGAUCAUCAUGCCCCUUAUGACCUGGGCUACACACGUGCUACAAUGGACGGUACAACGAGUCGCGAACUCGCGAGGGCAAGCAAAUCUCUUAAAACCGUUCUCAGUUCGGACUGCAGGCUGCAACUCGCCUGCACGAAGUCGGAAUCGCUAGUAAUCGCGGAUCAGCAUGCCGCGGUGAAUACGUUCCCGGGCCUUGUACACACCGCCCGUCACACCAUGAGAGUUUGUAACACCCAAAGUCGGUGGGGUAACCUUUUAGGAGCCAGCCGCCUAA